UUGUUUUAACUAUUUAACUGUAGUUGUACUUCUUGUACUUUGUUUUAAUACUUUUUAAAAUUGUAGGAUUAGCAACUAGCCAACCAGCACACACAAGUCAAUUACAAAAUCAAAGAUUAUUGCUUCAUUUGAUAUCAAGUCUCUCAUGCAGCAAUGCGAAAGAUUGUUGCUUUUCCAGACAAGAAAACAUUUUUACGCAGUCAUGUGACACAUGCCUCUGAACAAUUUGUGGGAUUAGUGCAAGUUUGAUUUGCAAAUAAUCGAUCAAGCGAAAGUUUCAAAAAGAAAAAAACAACAUUUAUAAAGCUAAAUGUUGGUUCAUUGUUAAAUCUGAAAUCUUAAAGACUUGAAGUUGAAGACUUACCCGAAUCUUCUUUCGAACAAUAAUACAAGUAUACGAGAGAAGAGUCACUAUGAAAUAAAGUGACCCCCGCUUUUAAAUUUUAA
This is a long non-coding RNA of Xenia sp. Carnegie-2017, 447 nucleotides long. RefSeq lists it as uncharacterized. The transcript is spliced from 2 exons. Lineage: Eukaryota; Metazoa; Cnidaria; Anthozoa; Malacalcyonacea; Xeniidae. The record is from RefSeq and is a predicted model, not a curated record.